Molecule: non-coding RNA, 240 nt
Organism: Pelobates cultripes (western spadefoot toad)
Lineage: Eukaryota; Metazoa; Chordata; Amphibia; Anura; Pelobatidae
Source: the annotation of a GenBank genome assembly
GAUCAGAGGACAGCUAAUUGCGACAUGCGCCACCCGCAAACGAGAAGCAACGCAGGCAACGAUAGCCCUCAGCAAGGAGAUCGCAGCCCUGGAAACCAAACACAAACGCACCCUAGACGCGGAGACAUACAGAGACCUGACCGUCAAGAGGGAACAACUCUCGACACACCUGAACCGCUCGAUACAGCGCACAUACCAACACUUCAAACACAUAAUUCAUGAACAUGGGAACAAAUGCGG